This 1269-nucleotide long non-coding RNA is filed under the name Capra hircus (goat). RNAcentral's name for it is "lncRNA (ENSCHIG00010006560.1)". Lineage: Eukaryota; Metazoa; Chordata; Mammalia; Artiodactyla; Bovidae. The record is from RNAcentral.
AAAAGAGCUAAGUUACAAAUAGAUUAAAAAAAAAAAACAAAAAACUGCUCUUCCUAGCAGUUCAACCAUUACGAAGUGUUAGCAGCUAGCAGAAAGAGACUAGGGUGUGAACAGUGGCCUCCUCUUAUAAAGAGUAGGUUUUCCCAAAGAAAGAAAUAUAACAUUAUUAUGACUCUCCAAUAUACAUGACUGCUUGAGUCAUUUUGUUAAUUUUCAAUUAAAUACAGCUCCCGUUUUCUGUUUCAAUGAGUUAACACAAUUAAAAUUUUCAUAUUAUUUUCAUCCUAUUUGUAAAAUAGUUUAUAUCAGAAUGUGUUUUAGGAUGAAAAUGGGUCCACAAAAAUGGGGUAAGGAUAAACUUGAAUAUGAUUUUAAGUUUAGUCUAGAUAUAGUGUUAUAGGAUAGAAUUUCAAAGAUCGGAUGCCAGAUUUCAAUGCUAAUUAAAGUGGCUAUGACAUUCAUUGCUCUAUUUAAUUGACUUAUAGCUGGGAUACUGACCAGGCCAUUUCUGCUCCCUAGAAUGCCUUUAUGCAAAUGAGACCAGGACAUGGCUUGGCAAGCAGAGCAACGGGCUGGAUUCCAGUCCCUACUUGUCCAUUUGGCCAGGCAUUGUUGUGUGGUGAACAGCCAGCACAAACGUACUCAGGGGCCCUGGGUUGCAAAUUCCAAUGUUUAGGCGGACAAGUGUUAGAUAAUAAGGAGUGCAAAGAAUGGGCAGACUAGGGACCCCAUUUCUAGUCACAGCUCCAGCUACUGUUUACAGGAGGGAAAGUAGACGCAGUGUUUCCAGACCUCCCAAGUUUUGAAAGAGGCUGGAAGUCUAAUUCAGUUUAUUUAACACCAUGGACCCAAGCAACAUGUGUGUGAGGCCCAAACUGAAAUUAUGGACUAGAUGCUUGUGACCCUGAUUUAAGUGCAUCACAGCUGCUUACUCAGAUUCCAUGGUUAUCCUGAUCCUGUGGGACUUGGGAAUGUGUGAGCUCUUGGAGGUGAUGGUGCAAGUGAGAGAUGUGGGACAGAGGCUAUUUGUCAUCCAAGGGGGUGAUGUGCAACUAAUUAAAGGCAGACUGGCAGCGUCUGCAAAUUCUAAGGCUCCCCAAAUAAAAAGAGACUGGGCGCCUUCUCAUCAGGACUUGAAGUUUUUGCACUUGGAGUUUGGGCAUAAAUGGCUCAUUAAUCUAAUUAUAAGCAUAAUUGCUAUAAUUGAUAUCCAUUUUGAACUGAAUAUUUGAGACUGAGACUGCUGGGCCCCCAUUUGAAAUUCCCUGA